AUGGUGGAUUACUAUGAUGUUCUAGGCGUGCAGAGACGUGCUUCAGCCGAGGAUAUUAAAAAGGCGUACCGAAAACUGACACUAAAGUGGCACCCAGAUAAAAACCCUGAGAAUAAAGAAGCAGCAGAGAGAAAUUUCAAACAAGUAGCUGAGGCGUAUGAGGUGUUGUCAGAUAGCAAAAAGCGGGACAUCUAUGACAAAUAUGGCAAAGAAGGAUUAAACGGUGGAGGAGGUGGAAGUCAUUCUGACAGUCCAUUGGAUUAUGGCUUCACAUUCUGUAAGCCCGAGGAUGUCUUCAGGGAAUGUUUUGGUGGAAGGGACCCCUUUAGAUUUGACUUCUUUGAAGACCCAUUUGAGGACUUUGUUGGGAAGCAGAGGGGUCUUCAAGGAAGCAGAAACCGAGGAACAGGGUCGUUUUUCUCUGGCUUCAGUGGAUUUCACCUUUUGGAAGCGGAUUUUCUUCUUUUAAUACAGGAUUUUCUGUGGGAUUUCCUGCAGGAUUUUCUUCAUUCAGGUCGCUAGAUCAUGGGGGUCUCACUUCAUUCUCUUCCACAUCAUUUGGUGGUAGUGGGAUGGGCAACUUCAAGUCUAUAUCGACUUCUACAAAAAUAGUUAAUGGCAGAAAGAUCACUACAAAGAGAAUCAUGGAGAAUGGUCAAGAAAGAGUGGAAGUUGAGGAAGACGGGUACAGCUCGAGUCCCUGACAAUACAUGGUAAGGAGCAGCUGCACUUGGAUAACAAGUGACUCAACGCACACGUUUAACAGAAAUGUUAACUGUAA
This is an RNA transcript of Nycticebus coucang (slow loris), 781 nucleotides long. It is a transcript of the gene named dnaJ homolog subfamily B member 6-like, with no coding region annotated. The record is from RefSeq and is a predicted model, not a curated record. The transcript has a single exon. Lineage: Eukaryota; Metazoa; Chordata; Mammalia; Primates; Lorisidae.